AAGUCGUAACAAGGUUUCCGUAGGUGAACCUGCGGAAGGAUCAUUAACACGUAUCCACGUAUCAACCCCUGUGCACAUGUACGUGUCUGGUUUGUUGAGUGAUAGUAAGUGAGGAUGGAGCCUUCUCACGGAGGUUCUCCAAUCUAUACUAUCUAGCGCUGCGAGCGCGAGCUCGGUGAAUUUCAGGCAUUUUUAACCAUACCAUUUACCCCAAUGACUAAUUAGAAUAAGAGUGUGGUUCGCCCACGUUCUUUGUUUCGACCUACGAAAUGUAACAACUCUUAGCAACGGAUAUCUUGGUUCUC
RNAcentral lists this unclassified non-coding RNA (305 nucleotides) under fungal sp. RNAcentral describes it as "partial internal transcribed spacer region". The stretch from base 1 to 46 matches the Rfam family "Eukaryotic small subunit ribosomal RNA", at positions 1786 to 1831 of the family's 1831-position model. Lineage: Eukaryota; Fungi. The record is from RNAcentral.